UAGUAGUAGUAGUAGUAGUAGUAGUAGUAGCGAGUAGUAGUGAUGUGGUAGUGUAGUAGCAGCAAUAGUAACAGUGUAGUAGGAGUGGUAGAAGAAUAGUUGUGGUUGCUGUCGUUACGUGUUGCGUCUUACGUUAGAAACUUUUUUUGCGAUGACACGAAUUAGAAGAACCGAAGAUAAUAAUGG
This is a long non-coding RNA of Vespula pensylvanica (western yellowjacket), 186 nucleotides long. RefSeq lists it as uncharacterized. NCBI's taxonomy places the organism in Eukaryota, Metazoa, Arthropoda, Insecta, Hymenoptera, Vespidae. The record is from RefSeq and is a predicted model, not a curated record. The transcript has 2 exons.